Molecule: long non-coding RNA, 2536 nt
Organism: Parus major (Great Tit)
Lineage: Eukaryota; Metazoa; Chordata; Aves; Passeriformes; Paridae
Exons: 2
Source: RefSeq, a predicted model, not a curated record
GGCAGGCCGAGCCCGUCCCGCGGCCGGGACACGCGUGGGGCUGCGCGUUCGCGCCCGCCGCCAGUGCCCCGCGGGGGCGGGGAGAGGAGGAAGGCGGAUACGCGAUGUUUGCAAAGCAGGUCGCUUUAAUCCUUCUCACUGAAAUGUCCAGAGCCUCUUCUAUUGCACAAUAAUAGGAAAUAAUAACUCAGGGCUGCUAAUUGUUUGCUUUCGCUGAAAAGGACCUUCCUCUGGUCAUAUCGGAUAAAAGGAUUUUUAUCCGUCCACUCGGUUUAGUGAAUGACAAUAAAUGGCAUUAGGCCUGGAAGACAUCUGCUAUUGAAUGUCUCCUCAGAGGACAAAAAAAAAUAAAAAAGUCAGACAAUAAAAUCUGUGCAUGGAUAUUAUUGUCUUUUAGCUAUGUAUUAUGUGUAUAUAUAUAUAUAUAUAUAUAUGCAAAAUGUUAGUUAUUGGAGACAUUAUUUUAGCACAUGAGAAAGUUUCAAGACAGAACUAUAAACCUGAAAGAAGCAUAAACAGAAGUUCAGAGAAUGCUGAUCUGAUUCAGAUCAACUUCCUACUAAUGUUUAGCAGUGGUUUGGGCUUAUUAAGGACUUUGUCCAGGUCUUUGGUGACAACAGUUUACCAAAAAAGCCUUUGCUGACAGUUGAGUCUCUGUCUUAUUUUGAGUCAUGGACAGGCUCCAGGCCUCCUGAGCAUGGGAGGUUUGCUUAUUCCUAUUUAUCCAAAACAGGAAAUCAAUGUGUAUUUCUAAAAUAUUUCAGAUGGUCAUGUCAAGGCCAAAAAAACUUUACACAAUCAUGUAAAAACCUUACCAUGUUAACUUAAGUGGCUCCGCUUCACAGCUCCAUUGUCUGAGAGCUAUUGACAAAUGACUGCUAAACUCCGGGAGUCUCAAGCACAUCCAGACUGUGUUACUUUGGUCACUUCGAGUUAUAACAGCAAAUUAUUAUUUGGUGGAAUCUUUCAAUUGAGUCGGUGACUUGUGAAUUUUCCCCUGAAUGUUAGAUACCCACCCAUGCUAUAAAGACAUAAUCUCUAAUGGGACUAAUGGAGAGGUAGAUCUUUUUUCCUAUCAGAUUGAUAUUCACCUAUGUCAUUAAUCCUUAAUAAUAAACAGAACUAAUAAGGUUUGCUAGGGUUUGUUGAUUUUUUUUGUUUUGUUUAUUUGGUUUUGUUUCUGUUUGUUUCAUUUUGUUGCUGUGGAGUUGUUUUUUGUUUUUUACCUUGCAAAACAGAGCCUGAUAUUAAACAGUCUGGGAGGCUGUGCUUAUGCUUGUUUUAGAAUUGUCAUAGUGACUUUUUAAUUUUUCAUUCUUAUUUUCUUUUCUUUCCUGAAAGUAUUGUUCAAGAUGUCAAAGGUACUAGCACAAUUCUGGGAAGGACAUAUGAUUUUUUCACUCUCCGGAAAAAUUAAACCAUUUUAAGCACUGAUACAAAGGUAAUUCUUGGUGAUAGCUGAUAUCAACAGUGGGUUCCUACUUGGUGAGUGGGCCAGGAAAACCAUCCUGGUGGAAAGGAGAGCCUGGAAGGUUUCCUGUGAGCAGAGCCCUGUGCGCCAGGAGAUCCUGCAGAGAGAAGCUGUAGGAGUAGCCAGCUCAGGAAAGUGCCUGGGACCAAAUAUUUGCAGAAUUGUUCUGAAGUAUUCUGCUUACGGUCUUUGUUUUGAGAUAAGAAAAUGAGGAAACUGUCUAAAAUAACUACUCACCAAAAGGAUGAAUUGUAUGAGGGUACCACUUCUGUGUCCCAUCUCCUCCCCCUUGCAGACCUGUGCACUGGCAGAGGCUGCCUUGCUAUUCUUGGUAAACAGCUUUUGAGGUGUUUGACUGACACUGAAAUUCAUGCAGCUUCUUAGAUGCCAAAUAUCUUGUGACCUGUACCCUGAAGAUUACUGAUAAACAGUCAUCCAUUUAAUAAUCCAUUUAAUUUCUAUUUUCAAAGUAAAAUAGAAGAAUCAAGGUGUAAUUUUCUUUAAUAUAAUGAGUACUUAAUUCUGAAGUCCACCUUUUAAGGUCUCCUUUGUAUUUUAAUUUUUUUGCGUGUAUGUAUUUGUGUGUUUAUUUAUUUUUAUUCUGUUUUAAUUUCAAUGAAUUUUCAUGUUCUUCAGAGUAGGAAGAAUUAUUUCUCUGGUAGCAUGAGCUAUACCAAAUCCUGCAGGUUGCACUUAAAUCUGAUUUAUGUGUCAAACUUAGCGAGGAGUGUCAGCCUAGAGAGACCUUUUCCCUAACAAAUAAAUCAACACAUUUCCUAAAAUGAAGGUGGCGGGUGUUUACUUCUUUUUUGUUUUUCAUUCAUUUUUCAGUUGACUUGAGCUCAUGCCAGCUUAUAGAGAGCUGGAUUGCAUUUAAGUUUUCUAAAACAUAUUCUCUAGAAAGGAAGCAACUCCAGUGCAGUGUAUGAUGAAACUACAAGAGUCUGAGGUCAUAGCACUAGCCUAUAAAAUAAAUUUCUCGGACUUCUGUCUUCCAAGAAUCAGCUAAAACAUAAUGCUGGGAAUGUAAUGUAUAAUGAAUAAAGAUAUUUCAGUGAUUCAUGA